GUCCUUUUGAGAUUUAUUUAAGGUUUGACCUGCCCACUGAUUUAUUGAAUGGCCGCAGUAAUUUGACUGUGCAAAGGUAGCAUAAUCAUUAGUUUUUUAAUUGAAAGCUUGUAUGAAGGGUUGGACGAGAUAAAAUCUGUCUCUAUUUAAUUUAAAUUAGAAUUUAAUUUUUAAGUUAAAAAGCUUAAAUUUUUAUAAAAGACGAGAAGACCCUAUAGAUCUUUAUAUCAAUAAAAAUUAAUUUUAAUUAAGUUUAUUUAAUUUAUUAUUUUUCUUGAUAUUUUAUUGGGGUAAUAAAAAGAUUUAAUUAAUUCUUUUUAAAAUUUAACAUUAAUUAAUGAUUAAUUGAUCCAAUAAUUUUGAUUAUAAGAUUAAGUUACCUUAGGGAUAACAGCGUAAUUUUUUUAGAGAGUUCAUAUUAAUAAAAAAGUUUGCGACCUCGAUGUUGGAUUAAAAAUUGUCUUAGGUGCAGAAGUUUAAGAAUUUGGUCUGUUCGACCAUUAAAUUUUU
RNAcentral lists this ribosomal RNA (510 nucleotides) under Liopterus haemorrhoidalis. Its description in RNAcentral is "partial 16S ribosomal RNA". The stretch from base 387 to 510 matches the Rfam family "Bacterial large subunit ribosomal RNA", at positions 2473 to 2597 of the family's 2925-position model. Lineage: Eukaryota; Metazoa; Arthropoda; Insecta; Coleoptera; Dytiscidae. The record is from RNAcentral.